RNAcentral lists this ribosomal RNA (465 nucleotides) under Vreelandella stevensii. Its description in RNAcentral is "partial 16S ribosomal RNA". It matches the Rfam family "Bacterial small subunit ribosomal RNA", at positions 338 to 795 of the family's 1533-position model. The record is from RNAcentral. Lineage: Bacteria; Pseudomonadati; Pseudomonadota; Gammaproteobacteria; Oceanospirillales; Halomonadaceae.
CCUACGGGGCGCAGCAGUGGGGAAUAUUGGACAAUGGGCGAAAGCCUGAUCCAGCCAUGCCGCGUGUGUGAAGAAGGCCUUCGGGUUGUAAAGCACUUUCAGUGGGGAAGAAAGCCUUGGGUCUAAUACCCUCGAGGAAGGACAUCACCCACAGAAGAAGCACCGGCUAACUCCGUGCCAGCAGCCGCGGUAAUACGGAGGGUGCGAGCGUUAAUCGGAAUUACUGGGCGUAAAGCGCGCGUAGGCGGUCUGAUAAGCCGGUUGUGAAAGCCCCGGGCUCAACCUGGGAACGGCAUCCGGAACUGUCAGGCUAGAGUGCAGGAGAGGAAGGUAGAAUUCCCGGUGUAGCGGUGAAAUGCGUAGAGAUCGGGAGGAAUACCAGUGGCGAAGGCGGCCUUCUGGACUGACACUGACGCUGAGGUGCGAAAGCGUGGGUAGCAAACAGGAUUAGAUACCCUGGUAGUC